GUCUCGGUAAACAACAGGUGCGAGCUCGAGGUUGGGGGACUUCCACUCCGAGGGGGUAGCGGCCGUGCCCCCUGCAUAGGGACAUAUUAUCUGUCGGAUUCAGCUGUCUAUGCCACCUCGACCAGCGGACUAGGUACUACAGAGAGUACAUACUAGUAGCUAUAAGAAGACAUGGAUAUACGGAUACCAGUGAUUGCGGCAUUUACACUCCUUAUCAGCCUCUCUGAAGCAGCUUCGUUGGUCCCCACGAAAACCGGAUAUGAGUGCGAUGAUACAUCAGUAUAUGGCACUUGCGCAGAAAUAGUUGCAAAACAUUCCCUGCAAGACAUUUUAACGAAUAUGUGCAGUUUUUAUCUGCGAUGGAGAGAGUGUGUUAUAGAAUACGUAUCCGUGUGUGGGACACAUGACGGCAUAGUCCCUACAGGAUGGCUAGAUGACCGGUGCGCAGAUCAAAAGAACCAAGAAGUAAAAAGAGUGUAACCCGUUCAACAGAUUGAUAUUUUGUCAAAGCUUUCUGAAUUUUGGUGUAAUAAUUAUUUAUGGAUAUGAGCAUUUGGUAAUAAAAUGUCAUGUGUUGUUGCAGAGA
This is a long non-coding RNA of Magallana angulata, 586 nucleotides long. RefSeq lists it as uncharacterized. NCBI's taxonomy places the organism in Eukaryota, Metazoa, Mollusca, Bivalvia, Ostreida, Ostreidae. The transcript has 4 exons. The record is from RefSeq and is a predicted model, not a curated record.